This 480-nucleotide small RNA is filed under the name Pongo abelii (Sumatran orangutan). RNAcentral's name for it is "retained intron". The record is from RNAcentral. Lineage: Eukaryota; Metazoa; Chordata; Mammalia; Primates; Hominidae.
AGGUAUUACAGUCAUAGCAGAGCAGAGGACCGGUAGCAGCCCUAGGCAAAGAGGGGCUGAAGAAGCCAACCAAGGCUUCAUGUGUAGUUGGAGAAAGAAGUCUCAGCUUCAGCCAAGUUUUCAGGUUGGAUUACUACAUGGGAAUUAACUGUUAAUUAUCUGCUAUAUUGUUUUUGUGAUAUCAAGUAAUCUGAUUUUUUACAUGACCAAAACAACAACAACAAAAAAGUAUUGAAGCCUACCUUAAAUUUCAUCUAGGGACAAAAGGAAGAACUAGCCCACCAAGUAGGUUUAAAGGGAGCGUCAGACACAAAAAUGACAUGCUCCAUAUUGCAGUCUAGAAGGAACAACAUGGUGAAUUGUCCACUGCAGAACACUUCACUCUGUCUCGAUUACUACAUGGUGAAUUGAAGUUCCAGUAGAGAGGGAAUCGAGCCGAUACUGAGGAGAUCAAUACCCAUCACCGUAUGGAUCUACUUC